Non-coding RNA from Triticum urartu, 85 nucleotides. NCBI's taxonomy places the organism in Eukaryota, Viridiplantae, Streptophyta, Magnoliopsida, Poales, Poaceae. The record is from Rfam.
GGUGGCACAUUGAACAUCUAUCAUACACACAGAUGGAAACUUCCAUGUGUGGAUUAAUAAUCUUUGCUUAUCAUCUGAUGCCUUG